CCUACGGGAGACAGCAGUGGGGAAUCUUGCGCAAUGGGCGAAAGCCUGACGCAGCCAUGCCGCGUGAAUGAUGAAGGUCUUAGGAUUGUAAAAUUCUUUCACCGGGGACGAUAAUGACGGUACCCGGAGAAGAAGCCCCGGCUAACUUCGUGCCAGCAGCCGCGGUAAUACGAAGGGGGCUAGCGUUGCUCGGAAUUACUGGGCGUAAAGGGAGCGUAGGCGGAUAGUUUAGUCAGAGGUGAAAGCCCAGGGCUCAACCUUGGAAUUGCCUUUGAUACUGGCUAUCUUGAGUGUGGGAGAGGUAUGUGGAACUCCGAGUGUAGAGGUGAAAUUCGUAGAUAUUCGGAAGAACACCAGUGGCGAAGGCGACAUACUGGCCCAUUACUGACGCUGAGGCUCGAAAGCGUGGGGAGCAAACAGGAUUAGAUACCCUGGUAGUCCACGCUGUAAACGAUGAGUGCUAGUUGUCGGCAUGCAUGCAUGUCGGUGACGCAGCUACGACAUAAGACACUCCGCCGUCGGGAGGUACGGUCGCGAAGAAGUUAAACUACGAAGAAGUAGACGGACGUGAGACGUGCCGACGGACGACGACGAGGGAGGAGG
This 603-nucleotide ribosomal RNA is filed under the name uncultured bacterium. RNAcentral's name for it is "bacterial SSU rRNA". The stretch from base 1 to 517 matches the Rfam family "Bacterial small subunit ribosomal RNA", at positions 338 to 873 of the family's 1533-position model. The record is from RNAcentral.